This 262-nucleotide ribosomal RNA is filed under the name unidentified marine bacterioplankton. RNAcentral's name for it is "partial 16S ribosomal RNA". It matches the Rfam family "Bacterial small subunit ribosomal RNA", at positions 49 to 339 of the family's 1533-position model. The record is from RNAcentral. RNAcentral also lists the same sequence under 1 other name.
UAACACAUGCAAGUCGAACGAAGUAGCAAUACUUAGUGGCAGACGGGUGAGUAACAUGUGGGUAUCACCCUUUUGGCCUGGAAUAACACGAGGAAACUUGUGCUAAUACCGGAUAAGUCUUUACGGAGAAAGCUUUAUGCACCAUUGGAUGAGCCCGCACUUGAUUAGUUUGUUGGUAGGUAAUGGCCUACCAAGACUAUGAUCAAUAGCUGGUUUGAGAGGAUGAUCAGCCACAUUGGGACUGAGACACGGCCCAAACUCC